CGUACACACCGCCCGUCACACCAUGGGAGUUGGCUUUACCUGUAAGGCGGUGCGCUAACCCGCAAGGGAGGCAGCCGACCACGGUAGGGUCAGCGACUGGGGUG
RNAcentral lists this ribosomal RNA (104 nucleotides) under uncultured bacterium. RNAcentral describes it as "partial 16S ribosomal RNA". It matches the Rfam family "Bacterial small subunit ribosomal RNA", at positions 1382 to 1482 of the family's 1533-position model. The record is from RNAcentral.